AGAAUCAACGCUGGCGGCGUGCCUAACACAUGCAAGUCGCACGAGAAAGGGGAGCAAUCCCUGAGUAAAGUGGCGCACGGGUGAGUAACACGUGAAUAAUCUACCUCCGAGUGGGGAAUAACUGAGAGAAAUCUUAGCUAAUACCGCAUAAUACUUACGAGUCAAAGCAGCAAUGCGCUUGAAGAGGAGUUCGCGGCAGAUUAGUUAGUUGGCGGGGUAAUGGCCCACCAAGACGAUGAUCUGUA
RNAcentral lists this ribosomal RNA (245 nucleotides) under uncultured bacterium. Its description in RNAcentral is "partial small subunit ribosomal RNA". It matches the Rfam family "Bacterial small subunit ribosomal RNA", at positions 26 to 285 of the family's 1533-position model. The record is from RNAcentral.